Molecule: non-coding RNA, 74 nt
Organism: Otolemur garnettii (small-eared galago)
Lineage: Eukaryota; Metazoa; Chordata; Mammalia; Primates; Galagidae
Source: Rfam
GGGCCUGUGGCUCAAAGGGAUAGGGCACUGGCCCUAUAUGCCGGAGGUGGCAGGUUCAAACCCAGCCCCGGCCA